This 1174-nucleotide ribosomal RNA is filed under the name Bacillus thuringiensis. RNAcentral describes it as "bacterial SSU rRNA". It matches the Rfam family "Bacterial small subunit ribosomal RNA", at positions 18 to 1178 of the family's 1533-position model. Lineage: Bacteria; Bacillati; Bacillota; Bacilli; Caryophanales; Bacillaceae. The record is from RNAcentral.
CCUGGCUCAGGAUGAACGCUGGCGGCGUGCCUAAUACAUGCAAGUCGAGCGAAUGGAUUAAGAGCUUGCUCUUAGAAGUUAGCGGCGGACGGGUGAGUAACACGUGGGUAACCUGGCCAUAAGACUGGGAUAACUCCGGGAAACCGGGGCUAAUCCGGAUAACAUUUUGAACCGCAUGGUUCGAAAUUGAAAGGCGGCUUCGGCUGUCACUUAUGAUGGACCCGCGUCGCAUUAGCUAGUUGGUGAGGUAACGGCUCACCAAGGCAACGAUGCGUAGCCGACCUGAGAGGGUGAUCGGCCACACUGGGACUGAGACACGGCCCAGACUCCUACGGGAGGCAGCAGUAGGGAAUCUUCCGCAAUGGACGAAAGUCUGACGGAGCAACGCCGCGUCAGUGAUGAAGGCUUUCGGGUCGUAAAACUCUGUUGUUAGGGAAGAACAAGUGCUAGUUGAAUAAGCUGGCACCUUGACGGUACCUAACCAGAAAGCCACGGCUAACUACGUGCCAGCAGCCGCGGUAAUACGUAGGUGGCAAGCGUUAUCCGGAAUUAUUGGGCGUAAAGCGCGCGCAGGUGGUUUCUUAAGUCUGAUGUGAAAGCCCACGGCUCAACCGUGGAGGGUCAUUGGAAAGUGGGAGACUUGAGUGCAGAAGAGGAAAGUGGAAUUCCAUGUGUAGCGGUGAAAUGCGUAGAGAUAUGGAGGAACACCAGUGGCGAAGGCGACUUUCUGGUCUGUAACUGACACUGAGGCGCGAAAGCGUGGGGAGCAAACAGGAUUAGUACCCUGGUAGUCCACGCCGUAAACGAUGAGUGCUAAGUGUUAGAGGGUUUCCGCCCUUUAGUGCUGAAGUUAACGCAUUAAGCACUCCGCCUGGGGAGUACGGCCGCAAGCCUGAAACUCAAAGGAAUUGACGGGGGCCCGCACAAGCGGUGGAGCAUGUGCUUUAAUUCGAAGCAACCCGAAGAACCUUACCAGGUCUUGACAUCUCUGAAAACCCUAGAGAUAGGGCUUCUCCUUCGGGAGCAGAGAGACAGGUGGUCCAUGGUUGUCGUCAGCUCGUGUCGUGAGAUGUUGGGUUAAGUCCCGCAACGAGCGCAACCCUUGAUCUUAGUUGCCAUCAUUAAGUUGGGCACUCUAAGGUGACUGCCGGUGACAAACCGGAGGAAGGUGGGG